RNAcentral lists this ribosomal RNA (364 nucleotides) under uncultured bacterium. Its description in RNAcentral is "bacterial SSU rRNA". It matches the Rfam family "Bacterial small subunit ribosomal RNA", at positions 777 to 1139 of the family's 1533-position model. The record is from RNAcentral.
AAUAGAUACCCGGGUAGUCCACGCCGUAAACGAUGAGUGCUAAGUGUUGGGGGGUUUCCGCCCCUCAGUGCUGCAGCUAACGCAUUAAGCACUCCGCCUGGGGAGUACGGUCGCAAGACUGAAACUCAAAGGAAUUGACGGGGGCCCGCACAAGCGGUGGAGCAUGUGGUUUAAUUCGAAGCAACGCGAAGAACCUUACCAGGUCUUGACAUCCCGGUGACCACUAUGGAGACAUAGUUUCCCCUUCGGGGGCAACGGUGACAGGUGGUGCAUGGUUGUCGUCAGCUCGUGUCGUGAGAUGUUGGGUUAAGUCCCGCAACGAGCGCAACCCUUAUUCUUAGUUGCCAUCAUUCAGUUGGGCACU